UCACCGUGUUCAGACACGGUGAAUGGUUCACAGUGUUCCAUAGAACUAUCAGCACUUACAAAUUUUUUUAACGCAAAAAAUCAUAUAAUACAACAUCACAACGCAACAACAAAUUCAAUGCAACAAUACAAGUAAUUCAACAUUAACAAUACAACAACAAAUCCGACAGAAUAUCAAUAAAGUAUCAAUACCAGAUCAUCACAACAGAAUAUCAAAAAUUAAAGCAAGUUUUUCAAUAAUAUAAAAAUAUAAUAUCAUAUUCUCCACCUAGUCCCUCGACCACGUCGCCUACCACGUCCGCGACCACGAUCAACACCAUGCUCAUCAAAAGGCUUUAAGACCUCCAACUG
Molecule: long non-coding RNA, 350 nt
Filed under: Ananas comosus (pineapple)
Lineage: Eukaryota; Viridiplantae; Streptophyta; Magnoliopsida; Poales; Bromeliaceae
Description: long non-coding RNA (ACOM_LNC019680)
Source: RNAcentral